Molecule: ribosomal RNA, 231 nt
Filed under: uncultured bacterium
Lineage: Bacteria
Description: partial 16S ribosomal RNA
Rfam family: Bacterial small subunit ribosomal RNA
Source: RNAcentral
UGAGCAACCUGCCCCUUGCUUUGGGAUAACCCUCGGAAACGGGGGCUAAUACCGAAUGUUCACUGCUGGACGCAUGUUUGGUGGUGGAAAGUUUUUCGGCUGGGGAUGGGCUCGCGGCCUAUCAGCUUGUUGGUGGGGUGAUGGCCUACCAAGGCGACGACGGGUAGCCGGCCUGAGAGGGCGACCGGCCACACUGGGACUGAGACACGGCCCAGACUCCUACGGGAGGCA